UGUAUACUAAGACCCGAGCAAGCCUCCCUGCUUCCUGAUGAGAACUACAGCAGGCUUGACCAAAACAUUUGGUUUCCUCUUCCCAAAGUCACCUGUGCCAGGAAUGGAAAUUGGAGCAGAUCAGGUGUUGCUCGGCAAAUCUCAAGGUUGUUGAACUUAAGGGCCUUUGAACGAGGGAAGCAUUUCAACUCUGUGGUAUGAAUCUGAACCACCAUCGCCUCCAAAUCUACUUGCAAGAAUCACACCUCUGGAAGUUGGGGAGUGCAGGGGCCAUGCGAGAUCCAUGUAGCCCUUUCUUUAUUAGGGAGAAAAGUAAAUGCUGAAGGAGAGGCCAAGCAGGUAUUUCAAAGGAGAUUUCACUGGUGCACCAAGCCCAUGGAGAUCUGUUAUGUCACAGUCCAAGGAUGAAAGAGCAAGAAGAGGA
Molecule: long non-coding RNA, 424 nt
Organism: Mauremys reevesii (Reeves's turtle)
Lineage: Eukaryota; Metazoa; Chordata; Testudines; Geoemydidae
Exons: 3
Source: RefSeq, a predicted model, not a curated record